AUAGUCAUUAUGUAAAAUGAUAUAUUUGUCAUUCAAUAACUCACAAUAGAAUGAGGUCAAGUGAGUAAAUUGGAGAUCUCAAUAAUUGCACUUUUUGGAGAGCUUGUACAACUUUUUGUCAAUACUCCAUUUUAACUUUUACCAAUCUCGCUCUUAAAUGUAGAGAGUGAAAUGAGGUUUUCUAUAAUUGAAAACAAUUUCAGUCUAAUUAAAAUAGAGAGAACCGAUACGCACGUAAAUUUAAGGUGGCUAGCCAGAGUGACUUAUACUAUUUUGUCUAAAAAUUGACUAAACUGGGGUAGCAUUGCUAGCUAAAGGUUUUUAUUUUUUAUUUUUUAUUUUUUUUAAGAAAUGUAAAACUUAAUUUAUAUAAUAACAACCAACCAUUACAACCAUGAGAGAUCUCGGUGGUGAACAACAAGUCCCCACACUCUUCUCUACCACAUACCAGCGAUUACAAUGAACAUGAAUCGAAAAUAGUCAAAAUGUAACCUUCUUCUAAUCCCAUUCAGAAGCCUCGAUACCUCCUUACAACCAACCUUAAGAAGAAACAACCCCACCAAACACUAUAUAUACACCAAAAUCGCCAGCAUAUAUGCAAGGGCAACCUCCCCAUUACAUUGACAACAAGAAAACACCAACGUUAAUACAGGUAGUCCAUGAAAAUGACACCAAACAUGACCUUACAAAAAUCACCAACCAAAACCCUAACGCCCUUGCUUGAAGGGAGGGACACCCUCGCCAAAAGGAAGGGACGACAGACAACAAGAACAAAAACAAAACUAACAAAACCAAGAAAAUAAAACCUAAACUAAACAACCAGAAAAAUCCAAAAAGGCCUACGUUGGCCGAGAGAUCGACGCAGGCCCAACAAACCAAAAUGGAAUGCCGCCUACCACCGAAACCGGUCGUCGCCCGCCCGCCACAGAAAUAGGUCGUCGCUUGGAGCUCCACCAAUCUCGUCAUCAAGGCAGAGAAAAGCAGCAGCACGCCCUUCCUCAUAGAUUUGAACCAAACCGUAGCAACAAGGCCUAACCAAGAUCAGAUCGAUCUGGCCAAACCUGCAUCAUCACGCCUCCUAUCGAUACAAACCACCGCCAACCCCGCACAGCCGCUUCCCUUGACAACACACCUCCAUGCCGGAUUACAUUGCUCCUCCCCCAAGCUUGUCCGGCAACAAACCCAGCUACAUUGACUAGGUCGGAAACCAAUGUCGGCGUAGGGGCGUCGCCAGACAAGCAAUAGGCUUCGAACUUGCUCUCUCUUUUUUCUUCCUAUUUUUACGGAGGUAACCCUAGAAGCGACUAAUUAUCAAACGCUAUUCUAUAACCCCCAUAAAUCUUAUUUUAGAGUUUCUAAUUGAUAAAAGCUUGUACUUUGUAAUAUCGAUAACAUAAGUAUUAAUUACGCAAAUAGUGCUUACGUUUGUUAUUUUCAAAACAUAAACGCACCGCACAAUUGCCCUUGCUUUUUUAUCGGAUUGAGGAAAAUAAAAACCAGAUUUUUUUUAAAAUUUUAAAGGCAUAAUUGGAACAUUAAAGGUAAAAAAUAAAGCGUGGAGUGAACUAAGCAUUUAGUAGGAUGGAAAUAGCCGCACCCAUAAGGUAUAUAAAGAUGAAAAGGGGAGUUACCCCCAAUUUGCUUCUCAGUUUGAAACUAUUAUAGCAUCUUCAACAACUUCCCUAAUUUUUUUUCCUUCUAAUUGGAGCAAGUGGGGAAUUUAUGAUAAUAUUAAUUUCGAUAAUUUGGGGAAGGAAAGUUUUGCUGUAAAUUUGAGGAAGAAGUGCUGUCACACCCCGAUCCCGAUGUCGACGAGUUUUAAGCACCGAACGUCGAUCACGAGCCGUGAACGAGUGUUACAAAGCGGAAUAAAAUAAAAAUACUAUCUUCUAGACUCGUCGGCUACCCUUUCCUGGCUCGGUACAAUCUAAGUACUUCUCUGUAAAAAAAUAUUGAAGAUGGGUGGGUGAGCAUAACCACGCGCUUAGUGAGUAGACUAAUGUAAUAUGCCCGCAAAGCCAUGUCAUUUUACACACGCUACAAAAUAGGUAUAUCGUAUACACAUCACUUUUACGCAAUUCAUCACAUCGCACAAUCCCUUCUUAUUGGAUACCCUUCAAUUUAGUGAUCCCCACGGGAACCUAAUAACCUUCAUGUCCUAUACCUCUAUGUGUCACAUCCUUACUUCGGCAUAACCAAUCAAGAAGUUCAUAUGUUCCAUGACUAGUCAAACAAUAGAUCCAACACAUAGUUAUAUAUAAACACCGCACAAUUCGCAAUAUCGACAUGCUUUACUCGAAAACGUAGAGAUAUUUCGUAAAUAGACAAAAUCAUGUUUUUUGACUAAUUUGAUAGCAAAUAAGAAUAUUUGAAACAUAUUACAUAAAUCUACUCACCUCGUUAAUAUGAAUCCCCACCAACAACAUCGAUCGUAAACCGAGCCUCCUAAAACAAGCCAUCUAGAAAUCAUCAUUGGAUCUAGCUCAAACUUCUAGGAAAGGAAGAGGUCAUUGAGACGAACCCGUAGCACUUCGCGGAUUCAGAAUCAGAGUUACGGAUCAAAAAUUAUGAUCCGCUAAAAUUUUAGUCGUAAAAGUAAUUCUAGAGCGAGAAAAAC
Molecule: long non-coding RNA, 2617 nt
Filed under: Fragaria vesca (wild strawberry)
Lineage: Eukaryota; Viridiplantae; Streptophyta; Magnoliopsida; Rosales; Rosaceae
Description: long non-coding RNA (FVES_LNC001135)
Source: RNAcentral